AACGAACGCUGGCGGUGUGCUUCACACAUGCAAGUCGAACGAGGUAGCAAUACCUAGUGGCGGACGGGUGAGUAACGCGUGGGAAUCUGCCCUGGGGUGGGGGAUAACUAGUCGAAAGAUUAGCUAAUACCGCAUAUGCCGUGAGGUAAAAGGAGUAAUCCGCCCGAGGAUGAGCCUGCGUCCGAUUAGCUAGUUGGUAGGGUAAAAGCCUACCAAGGCUACGAUCGGUAGCUGGUCUGAGAGGAUGAUCAGCCACAAUGGGACUGAGACACGGCCCAUACUCCUACGGGAGGCAGCAGUGGGGAAUUUUACGCAAUGGGGGAAACCCUGACGUAGCGACACCGCGUGAGCGAAGAAGCCCUUUGGGGUGUAAAGCUCUGUCAGCAGGAACGAAUAAAUGACGGUACCUGCAGAGGAAGCAUCGGCUAACUACGUGCCAGCAGCCGCGGUAAU
This 453-nucleotide ribosomal RNA is filed under the name uncultured bacterium. RNAcentral's name for it is "bacterial SSU rRNA". It matches the Rfam family "Bacterial small subunit ribosomal RNA", at positions 29 to 524 of the family's 1533-position model. The record is from RNAcentral.